RNAcentral lists this ribosomal RNA (307 nucleotides) under Symploce sp. RMP_15015. Its description in RNAcentral is "partial 16S ribosomal RNA". The stretch from base 167 to 307 matches the Rfam family "Bacterial large subunit ribosomal RNA", at positions 2473 to 2613 of the family's 2925-position model. The record is from RNAcentral. Lineage: Eukaryota; Metazoa; Arthropoda; Insecta; Blattodea; Blattellidae.
AGUUUAAUUGAUAAAAUUAUAGGUUUAUUGUUUGUAAUUAUUUAUUAUAAUUUUAUUAAUUUUGUUGGGGUGAUGGGAAGAUAAAAUUAACUCUUUUUAUAAGUAAUAUAUUGAUUUAUAGAUUUAUGAUCCAUUAUUGUUGAUUAUAAGACUAAAUUACCUUAGGGAUAACAGCGUAAUCUUUCUUGAGAGUUCAUAUCGACAGGAAGGGUUGCGACCUCGAUGUUGGAUUAAGAUAAACAUUAGGUGUAGAAGUUUAAUUUGUUAGGUCUGUUCGACCUUUAAUAUCUUACGUGAUCUGAGUUCA